Molecule: small nuclear RNA, 151 nt
Organism: Mustela putorius furo (domestic ferret)
Lineage: Eukaryota; Metazoa; Chordata; Mammalia; Carnivora; Mustelidae
Gene: U1
Rfam family: U1 spliceosomal RNA
About the family: U1 is a small nuclear RNA (snRNA) component of the spliceosome (involved in pre-mRNA splicing). Its 5' end forms complementary base pairs with the 5' splice junction, thus defining the 5' donor site of an intron.
Source: Ensembl
AUACUUAAUCUGGCAGGGGUUAAGGUGGUUUUUCCAGGGCGAGACUUACCCUUUGCACUCCGGAUGUGCUGACCCCUGCGAUUUCCCCAAAUGUGGGAAACUCACCUGCAUGAUUUGUGGUAGUCGAGAACUGCAUUUGCGCUUUCCCCUG